GACGAACGCUGGCGGCGUGCUUAACACAUGCAAGUCGAACGGUGAAGCUCCAGCUUGCUGGAGUGGAUCAGUGGCGAACGGGUGAGUAACAAGUGAGCAACCUGCCCCUGCCUCUGGAAUAAGCGCUGGAAACGGCGUAUAAUACUGGAUACGAGAAGGGUCCGCAUGGGCACUUUCUGGAAAGUUUUUCGGUUGGGGAUGGGCUCGCGGCCUAUCAGCUUGUUGGUGAGGUAAUGGCUCACCAAGGCGACGACGGGUAGCCGGCCUGAGAGGGCGACCGGCCACACUGGGACUGAGACACGGGCCAGACUCCUACGGGAGGCAGCAGUGGGGAAUAUUGCACAAUGGGCGAAAGCCUGAUGCAGCGACGCCGCGUGAGGGAUGACGGCCUUCGGGUUGUAAACCUCUUUCAGCAGGGAAGAAGCGAAAGUGACGGUACCUGUAGAAGAAGCACCGGCUAACUACGUG
Molecule: ribosomal RNA, 468 nt
Filed under: uncultured bacterium
Lineage: Bacteria
Description: partial 16S ribosomal RNA
Rfam family: Bacterial small subunit ribosomal RNA
Source: RNAcentral